Molecule: ribosomal RNA, 434 nt
Filed under: uncultured Lachnospiraceae bacterium
Lineage: Bacteria; Bacillati; Bacillota; Clostridia; Lachnospirales; Lachnospiraceae
Description: partial 16S ribosomal RNA
Rfam family: Bacterial small subunit ribosomal RNA
Source: RNAcentral
ACGGAAGGCAGCAGUGGGGAAUAUUGCACAAUGGGCGAAAGCCUGAUGCAGCGACGCCGCGUGAGUGAAGAAGUAUCUCGGUAUGUAAAGCUCUAUCAGCAGGGAAGAAAAUGACGGUACCUGACUAAGAAGCCCCGGCUAACUACGUGCCAGCAGCCGCGGUAAUACGUAGGGGGCAAGCGUUAUCCGGAUUUACUGGGUGUAAAGGGAGCGUAGACGGUUUGGCAAGUCUGAAGUGAAAUGCGGGGGCUCAACUCCUGAACUGCCUUGGAAACUGUCGAACUAGAGUGCAGGAGAGGUAAGUGGAAUUCCUAGUGUAGCGGUGAAAUGCGUAGAUAUUAGGAGGAACACCAGUGGCGAAGGCGGCUUACUGGACUGUAACUGACGUUGAGGCUCGAAAGCGUGGGGAGCAAACAGGAUUAGAUACCCUGGUA